Molecule: ribosomal RNA, 445 nt
Filed under: uncultured bacterium
Lineage: Bacteria
Description: bacterial SSU rRNA
Rfam family: Bacterial small subunit ribosomal RNA
Source: RNAcentral
GCUAAACGCGAAGAACCUUACCUACUCUUGACAUCCACGGAAGACUGCAGAGAUGCGGUUGUGCCUUCGGGAACCGUGAGACAGGUGCUGCAUGGCUGUCGUCAGCUCGUGUUGCGAAAUGUUGGGUUAAAGUCCCGCAACGAGCGCAAACCCCUAUCCUUAUUUGUCCACGCACGUAAUGGUGGGAACGUCUAGGGAGACUGCCGGUGAUAAACCGGAGGAAGGUGGGGACGGACGUCAAGUCAUCAUGGCCCUUACGAGUAGGGCUACACACGUGCUACAAUGGCGAGUACAGAGGGUUGCAAAGCCGCGAGGUGGAGCUAAUCUCACAAAAGCUCGUCGUAGUCCGGAUUGGAGUCUGCAACUCGACUCCAUGAAGUCGGAAUCGCUAGUAAUCGUGGAUCAGAAUGCCGCGGUGAAUACGUUCCCGGGUCUGUACACACCG